GAUGAACGCUGGCGGCGUGCCUAAUACAUGCAAGUCGAGCGAACAGACGAGGAGCUUGCUCCUCUGACGUUAGCGGCGGACGGGUGAGUAACACGUGGAUAACCUACCUAUAAGACUGGGAUAACUUCGGGAAACCGGAGCUAAUACCGGAUAAUAUAUUGAACCGCAUGGUUCAAUAGUGAAAGACGGUUUUGCUGUCACUUAUAGAUGGAUCCGCGCCGCAUUAGCUAGUUGGUAAGGUAACGGCUUACCAAGGCAACGAUGCGUAGCCGACCUGAGAGGGUGAUAGGCCACACUGGAACUGAGACACGGUCCAGACGCCUACGGGAGGCAGCAGUAGGGAAUCUUACGCAAUGGGCGAAAGCAUGACGGAGCAACGCCGCGUGAGUGAUGAAGGUCUUCGGAGCGUAAAACUCUGUUAUUAGGGAAGAACAAAUGUGUAAGUAACUAUGCACGUAUUGACGGUACCUAAUCAGAAAGCCACGGCUAACUACGUG
RNAcentral lists this ribosomal RNA (497 nucleotides) under uncultured bacterium. RNAcentral's name for it is "partial 16S ribosomal RNA". It matches the Rfam family "Bacterial small subunit ribosomal RNA", at positions 28 to 507 of the family's 1533-position model. The record is from RNAcentral.